This 403-nucleotide ribosomal RNA is filed under the name Verrucomicrobiota bacterium. Its description in RNAcentral is "Verrucomicrobia bacterium partial 16S ribosomal RNA". It matches the Rfam family "Bacterial small subunit ribosomal RNA", at positions 355 to 776 of the family's 1533-position model. The record is from RNAcentral. Lineage: Bacteria; Pseudomonadati; Verrucomicrobiota.
UGGGGAAUAUUGCACAAUGGGCGCAAGCCUGAUGCAGCAACGCCGCGUGAACGAUGAAGGUCUUCGGAUCGUAAAGUUCUGUUGCAGGGGAAGAUAAUGACGGUAUCAUAGGAGGAAGCCCCGGCUAACUACGUGCCAGCAGCCGCGGUAAUACGUAUGGGGCGAGCGUUGUCCGGAAUUAUUGGGCGUAAAGGGUACGUAGGCGGUCUAUUAAGUCAGGUGUGAAAGCGUGAGGCUUAACCUCAUUAAGCACUUGAAACUGAUAGACUUGAGUGAAGGAGAGGAAAGUGGAAUUCCUAGGGUAGCGGUGAAAUGCGUAGAUAUUAGGAGGAAUACCGGUGGCGAAGGCGACUUUCUGGACUUUUACUGACGCUCAGGUACGAAAGCGUGGGGAGCAAACAGG